RNAcentral lists this ribosomal RNA (547 nucleotides) under uncultured bacterium. RNAcentral's name for it is "bacterial SSU rRNA". It matches the Rfam family "Bacterial small subunit ribosomal RNA", at positions 355 to 896 of the family's 1533-position model. The record is from RNAcentral.
UGGGGAAUAUUGCGCAAUGGGGGGAACCCUGACGCAGCCAUGCCGCGUGAAUGAAGAAGGCCUUCGGGUUGUAAAGUUCUUUCGGUAAUGAGGAAGGGAUGUUGUUAAAUAGAUAGCAUCAUUGACGUUAAUUACAGAAGAAGCACCGGCUAACUCCGUGCCAGCAGCCGCGGUAAUACGGAGGGUGCGAGCGUUAAUCGGAAUAACUGGGCGUAAAGGGCACGCAGGCGGACUUUUAAGUGAGAUGUGAAAUCCCCGAGCUUAACUUGGGAACUGCAUUUCAGACUGGGAGUCUAGAGUACUUUAGGGAGGGGUAGAAUUCCACGUGUAGCGGUGAAAUGCGUAGAGAUGUGGAGGAAUACCGAAGGCGAAGGCAGCCCCUUGGGAAUGUACUGACGCUCAUGUGCGAAAGCGUGGGGAGCAAACAGGAUUAGAUACCCUGGUAGUCCACGCUGUAAACGCUGUCGAUUUGGGGAUUGGGCUAUAUGCUUGGUGCCCGAAGCUAACGUGAUAAAUCGACCGCCUGGGGAGUACGGCCGCAAGGUUA